Numida meleagris (helmeted guineafowl) is the source of this 2624-nucleotide long non-coding RNA. RefSeq lists it as uncharacterized. The record is from RefSeq and is a predicted model, not a curated record. NCBI's taxonomy places the organism in Eukaryota, Metazoa, Chordata, Aves, Galliformes, Numididae. The transcript has 4 exons.
AUUUAUGACCACACCAUGCAGGAGAAAUAUAGAAAAGGGGAUAUAGGAACUAGGAGCUGAGCCAGCUGUACGUCCCUUAAUGAGACCUCUGUAAUUGCAAUUUCCCACCAACCAAUAAAGAACUGGCCCGGGGGGAUGGCAAGGUGGAACCCAUCAGCACACGGAGGACACCUGGGCAGGGCAGGUCAUAAAGGGCCGAAGGUUUCGGGGCACUUCCCUUUUGCACGAGCAGAAAGGAAGUGCCCGGAGCCCCCUCCCGAGCAGCAGCAGUGCAGGUGCUGAUGACGCGAGCCUCCAGGCACCACUGCUGAACUCUGCUCCAGGCCAGUGGCGUUUCAUCAACACCUUUUUAUCAUCAUGUGGUCAUCGAAAGAUGAUGUGUGGGAUGAACCUUAAGGUGCGAUGGGAAGUGGCAACCUGGAAGAAAUACCCGUCUGAAUUCUGCUCUGAAUCAAAAUCGCUGUGCUACACUCAGUGUAUGUUCUGCUUUCAUUCAUUUCAUGGGGAAAUAAGAAACAACUUGCUUUUCACUGGUUGCUUCCGUGUCCAACGAUUGCAUCAAACUUAACAUCGGUCAUCUUUUUGAGAUAAUUCAAGGCACGUUCUGGAAUCAACCUGGAGGAUGAAAAAAAAACCCAUGAAAUUAAACGUAGGAUAAGAAUUUAGGUUUUGGAGAAAGUGGCACCGCAGGUGGGACUGGAGCUCGUCUGGGCACAGAACGCAUGCUCGCAUCACACUGAGACCAGAACUUAAAUCUGGGGAGUACUUCCUAAAAACCCACUGCCUUCAUAACUGUUUGACCAGCUUGACCUCCAGUCCCUUCAGCACCUUGCUCCUUUUAUGAUCGCUUCAACCACUGCAAAGGAUGUUGGUUACAACACUGCUUGCAGGUUUAAUGUUGAAUGUAGGCAAGUACAUGAAAAAUGAAAUGAGAAUUAACUUUGCUUUCUCUUUGCUUUCAAAACCUCAUCUGACUGAUGGAGAAUUUUGGGAAGGCAAAAGAUUCUUUACACUCUCAUAAAACAGCUUUGGCUGUUUCCUGGCUUUCACGAAUGAGUUACUAUGAAGUCUUGAGAUACUGUAGAAGCUAACUGAAGUGGUAAAGUAGUUGUUCUGAUGCAAACCUAGCUUUUGAAUCAGGGCUGUGGAGAGAACACAGCCCCAGCAGAGCAGUCAUACUGGACGUUUAGUCACAGAAUCACAGAAUUAGCUAGGUUGGAAAAGACCUACAAGAUCAUCCAGUCCAACCAUCCCAGUAUGGGAGGACAAGUCUCACUUCAAAUGGCAGAGGGAAGAAGCAGAACCCUUCUCAAGCAGCAUUCCCAGCCUUCGUGACCUAGACCUCCUGGUGCUGCCGUGAAGAAGUGAAUACCAAAAAGCAGCAGUUCCUUAACUGCAUCUGGAGCUUGUCUGGAGCCAUUGGUCCAGAGAAACUAUUCUUUGCAAGCCCAUGGGAAAUUCUGUUUAUGAUUGAAAAGUGAUCCCUUGAUCUGCUUCUGCGUCCCUAUCAGCCAGCGGAGCAUCUGAGUUCUUCACUCAGCAGCUCAUGCAAAAAUUGGAUCAUAAUGACCUGUAAGAGGACUCAACAAAACCCUCAUGGUAUCUGCUGUUGUCACUGGAAAGAAACAAUAUGCUGUAACAUUGACUUGCCACAGGUUCUAAAAUAACACAGAAUUGAAUCAGAUGUUACAAGUGUGUUCAAGAACUGUUUAGAUGUUGACUGAGAGACAUGGUGUAGUGGGAAACACUGGUGAUAGGCAUCCAGUUGGACUGGAUGACCUUAGAGGUCUUUUCCAACUUUGGUGGUUCUAUGAAGUGUAAUGCUUGUACACUCCUGCAGUUAUCCCUUACGUUGUUACGUACCUUUCGAGAAGUAAAGCAAUGUGUUGAUGUGACGGAACAAAAACCAUUUUCUGGUUGGUCAGUAUUCCCUCCAUCAGUGCCUUCACAACUUCAUCAACCUCCAAGAUCUUUCCAAGCCUAAAAUCAAAGGAAAGCAUGUAUGUAAGAGCAACAGAGAUAAAACAUGGGCAGCGGCUGAAUAUGAAGUAGGAUGCUUCACAAGUGCCUGAAGUCAGGUGAGCCAGCUCGUCUGUUAAAGCUUUAUGAAAUCCAACUGCAGCAAACUUGCUUGAACUGGUGGAGGAAGAAAAAGCACAAAUGAGAAGGCAUGAAUGUUAUUUCCAGCCUGACAGAAAUGGAAAGGGGCUGAGAGAACAUGCAGUACUGACUAGAGAGGGAAACAGUGCAAUCCACUUGGGAAGGCAGGGGCUAAUUCUAAUUUUUGCUGUCUUAUACUGUUUUCCUAAAAUAGACAUUGCUGCUUGUGGAAAACCUUUUAGGAUGCAAAGAGGAAUAUGUAGGUAAUCUUAGUAGUGAAUAGUCAGAGGAGUGUUAGGAAAUAAUAAUUGGCAUGCAUAAGUCUCAUGUUUCUCUUUCUGAAAGCUAAAUUCAGUAGACAGUGUAAUGUCCAGCAUUUCUUACUACAGGAAAAAAAAUACUGCCUAAGCCUGUAAAACUAAGAAGAAAAAAAGAUGGUAAAAACAAAUAAACAAUAAGUAGGUUGUUUUUUUUAUGGCUACAGCAACUCACAAGAGCAUUGUGUUAUUCUAAGAAGGAAAGAG